This 494-nucleotide ribosomal RNA is filed under the name uncultured bacterium. Its description in RNAcentral is "partial 16S ribosomal RNA". It matches the Rfam family "Bacterial small subunit ribosomal RNA", at positions 28 to 507 of the family's 1533-position model. The record is from RNAcentral.
GACGAACGCUGGCGGCGUGCUUAACACAUGCAAGUCGAACGGUGAAGCGCCUUCCUUUUUGGUGGGUGUGGAUGAGUGGCGAACGGGUGAGUAACACGUGAGUAACCUGCCCCCUUCUUCUGGAUAACCGCAUGAAAGUGUGGCUAAUACGGGAUAUUCUGGGUCUGUCGCAUGAUGGGUCUGGGAAAGAUAUUGUUUCGGUGGGGGAUGGGCUCGCGGCCUAUCAGCUUGUUGGUGGGGUGAUGGCCUACCAAGGCGGUGACGGGUAGCCGGCCUGAGAGGGUGGACGGUCACACUGGGACUGAGACACGGCCCAGACUCCUACGGGAGGCAGCAGUGGGGAAUAUUGCACAAUGGGCGCAAGCCUGAUGCAGCGACGCCGCGUGAGGGAUGGAGGCUUUCGGGUUGUGAACCUCUUUCGCCAGUGAAGCAGGCCUGCCUCGUUUGUGGGUGGGUUGACGGUAGCUGGAUAAGAAGCGCCGGCUAACUACGUG